GUGGAUGUAGUUCAAAUGGUAGAACACCUGUAUGUGGAACAGUAAGUUCCUUGUUCAAGUCAAGGUAUCCUCC
Molecule: transfer RNA, 73 nt
Filed under: Gonatophragmium mori
Lineage: Eukaryota; Fungi; Ascomycota; Dothideomycetes; Acrospermales; Acrospermaceae
Description: tRNA-His
Rfam family: tRNA
About the family: Transfer RNA (tRNA) molecules are approximately 80 nucleotides in length. Their secondary structure includes four short double-helical elements and three loops (D, anti-codon, and T loops). Further hydrogen bonds mediate the characteristic L-shaped molecular structure. tRNAs have two regions of fundamental functional importance: the anti-codon, which is responsible for specific mRNA codon recognition, and the 3' end, to which the tRNAs corresponding amino acid is attached (by aminoacyl-tRNA synthetases). tRNAs cope with the degeneracy of the genetic code in two manners: having more than one tRNA (with a specific anti-codon) for a particular amino acid; and 'wobble' base-pairing, i.e. permitting non-standard base-pairing at the 3rd anti-codon position.
Source: RNAcentral